This 3117-nucleotide long non-coding RNA is filed under the name Homo sapiens (human). RNAcentral's name for it is "HSALNT0345599". The record is from RNAcentral. Lineage: Eukaryota; Metazoa; Chordata; Mammalia; Primates; Hominidae.
UUUUGAAACCUGGAAAUUCAAACUGCAGUGGGCUGACUUGGAGCUGCUUCACCUGGACAGGGUGUUGUGCCCCUAUUUAGGCUAGAAAACCCUACCUUUGGGUAAUUUGAUGAUUGGUUGUAUUGGAGCUCAGAGCUUGCAGGUGGGAGUAAGCUUCUCUUGAAACAAGGGAAAGGUCAAUCCUGGGACUGGGAGGGGUUGAAAGGCCAGUCUUGGUCAGCUGUGAGCAAAAGAACUUCCUCCUCUCUCUAGGCUGAGGGGUAGAAAUUGGGCCAGUAUCUCCACACCCCGACAACUUCCAAAUGCCGCUCUGGCCACAGGGAGGCAGGAAGUAUCCCUGGUGUGGGACAGUCCUGGGAGGGUCCCAGGAUGGCUCUGGGCCUAUUUUGUGCUUACAAAUUAUUCUCCAUACUCUUCUUCCUUCCAUUAUCCGUAGACUUCCCCCUCAAACCCCGAAACGGAGUCUCACUCUGUUGCCCAGGCUGGAGUGCAGUGCCGUGGUCUCGACUCACUGCAACCUCCGCCUCCCAGGUUCAAGCGAUUCUUGUGCAAUAGCCUCUGAGUAGCUGGAAUUACAGGAGUGCACAACCACUCCCGGCUAUUGUUUGUAUUUUUAAUAGAGGCAGGGUUUCACCACGUUGGCCAGGCUUGUCUCAAUCUCCCAACCUCAGGUGAUCUGCCCAACUCCUCGGCCUCGCAAAGUGCUGAGACUGUAGGCGUGAGCCACCGCGCUGGGCCUAUCCUCAGGCUUUUACUAAAGACACUUAAAGGUUACAGCCUGGUCUUUCUUAUUUGAGUUAGUUUCCAAUGACUGCUGAACAGAUUCACAAACUUGUCUUAACACAACAGAAAUUUGUUAUCUCGCAGUGCUGGAGGCCAAAAGCUAAAAUCAAGAUGUCGGCAGGACUGUGCUUAUUACAACGGCUUGGGGAGAAUCCUUCUUUCUGUCUCCCGCUUUAGGCCCCUGUGUUCUUGGCUUGUGGCAGCAUCACUCUACGCUGUCUGUCUCCACGUGGCCUUGCCUCCGUGCCUGUUUUCCCUCUUCUUCUCCUAUGUGAACACCGUCACUGGAAUUAGAGUGCACCCUGGUAAUCUAGGAUGAUCUCAUCUUGAGAUGCUUAAUUUCAUUACUUUGCAAGGAUCCUAUUUCCAAAGGUCACACUCACAGAUUCCAGUCGGACAUGAUUUUUUUUGAGGCAGGUCCAUUCAACGUGCUAUCAUUGUGGUGUGGGAAAUUCAAGACAGAAACUGCACCACCUUGGAGACAAACUGGACUAGUGGAGAGCAGUGUUCCUUCCCCUACAGCCAGAGCUGGGGGAACAACUCGGCACAGUGGAGGUCUCACAAGGCACCAGGAGUAAAGCAAUAGCAUCCUCCUGGGACAUACAGCGAUGGCCCCCACACCUGGAAGGACUCAAGCUCUGAAUCCAGCACCUUCAGGAAGCAAGUGAUGGCAUCCCAGAGGCCCUAUGCUUGAGACAGACUGACGAAAACAGGUGGAUCUAGGUAAAAUCAGUCUCUGCUACCCUCCUCAUCUAAACCCUCAGUGCAGGGCCACCUUGGAAGCCAUGUGUUAACACUGAGUGAUCCUCCUCAGCCAAGUCCCUAAUGCAUGGAAAAGAACCUCCUGACCCAGUCCCCAAAGGCUGGACUUUUCCUUUGCAAGAAAUAAGGAGGGUAAAGUUCACCAUAAAUAACAAAGUCAUGGAGUCAAGCUGUCACAAUUGGCCACCGUUCCUAAGGCAUUUGAAUUGUAUGCAUUGACAGGAAAAAGCAGGAAGGAGUGAAGACAGAACAAGGGGAGAAUGUAACCUGAGUUGGAAGGUGUAAUAUUUAAAUGUAUUUGCAAACCUGUUUUGGGCCAAAAGGGGUAGGAGGAAGAGAAGACGCAUUUGCUGAGAUCUAUUAUAUGCCAAUUGGAGGACUACAGAUUUCACAAUUCACAUCUGUUGUCUUAUUUCUUUCUCAUAAUCCCAAAGAUAAUUCUAAAGUUACACAUUAUCAUCUCCAUUUACAAUUAAGAACUGAUGCUCCAAGAAGAAAGAUCUCACAGUGUGUAGGCAACAGACCUAAGAUUCAAACCUAUAUUGGUGGGUGUUAAUGUCCUUGUUCUUUCUGAUGUAAGCAUGUAACAUUUCCACAUCUCUGAUUCCAUGCUCAAGGUGGGCCAAGCCAUGCUGCUUGUAAGACAGGGUGCCUGUGAUGACACAAGUCAUUAAUGCAAGUGUUAAGUGCCAUGCAAGCACAGAAGCCACUUAAAAUGGGUUUUCGGAAAUGAAAGCUGGGCUCAAACAGAGCCCACUUUCAAGGGGGCCUGGUUUAAGUGGCCAAACUCUCAAGAAGAAAGGCAUUAAAGGAAGAGCCUUUCUGCUGGGCUGGCAAAACUUUAGGUUCAUGAAUUCAGGAGGAGACUGAGGAGGAGAAAACAGGGUUUUAGAAUGCAGCCUCAGGAGCUGCCUGCACCUCUCAGGCCAGGAGGUUGGCUUUUCCAAUUGUGCGAUUAAGCUAUUCUACCCAGCCCCACCUCUCAUUUUCAAUUAAUCUGCACUAAUGAAUUCAACAACCAAAAUGCAUUUGCUAAUUGAGGUGCUUGCUGGCCAGGUCAUCCGCGCUCCCUUGUCUAACAGCUGGUACUCCCCACUGUGCCACGGUAAAGUAGGGUAGUAGAGGCCUCUGCUCCCCUCAUCCCCUGCUGCCCCUGAGGGGAAUACCCAGUGGGCAAGAAAAGGCCCAGCCUGGGAGAGAAUGCUCAUAAUAUAUUACUAAGUCACAGACAGAAAUUGCUCCUCCGGGCAGUCUUUCACUUUUUGUUUCUAAGUGAAAGCUCAUGACCAUCCCAGCCAUAUUAUCUCCCUGGCCCUUGGAAGCUGUUAUGUAAUGGAAAGGGCAUUAAACUCAGGCCAGGAAAUUCUUGAUACAGAACCCAGACUGUUGUUGAUAACUGGGUUGACUUUGGAAAGUGACUGCCUCCCUCCCUCUCGGUUUGCUCAUCUGGAAAAUGAAACUAAUGGAACUGACCUUGGAGUCAUGGUGAAGUGCCCGUGAAUGUAAUCAGAACAUCUCAGUUUCUUCUUCUAUACUGAGGGGCAUGGCCAGUUGGGCAUGGGGAGAUGGUAC